Molecule: ribosomal RNA, 235 nt
Filed under: uncultured bacterium
Lineage: Bacteria
Description: partial 16S ribosomal RNA
Rfam family: Bacterial small subunit ribosomal RNA
Source: RNAcentral
GAUCCCUGGCUCAGGAUGAACGCUAGCGACAGGCUUAACACAUGCAAGUCGAGGGGCAGCACAGGUAGCAAUACCGGGUGGCGACCGGCGCACGGGUGAGUAACGCGUAUGCAACUUACCUAUCAGAGGGGGAUAACCCGGCGAAAGUCGGACUAAUACCGCAUGAAGCAGGGGCCCCGCAUGGGGAUAUUUGCUAAAGAUUCAUCGCUGAUAGAUAGGCAUGCGUUCCAUUAGG